RNAcentral lists this ribosomal RNA (598 nucleotides) under uncultured bacterium. RNAcentral's name for it is "bacterial SSU rRNA". It matches the Rfam family "Bacterial small subunit ribosomal RNA", at positions 202 to 803 of the family's 1533-position model. The record is from RNAcentral.
GAAAGAAUAUCGGAGACGGAUGGGCAUGCGGCGCAUUAGCUAGUUGGCGGGGUAACGGCCCACCAAGGCGACGAUGCGUAGGGGUUCUGAGAGGAAGGUCCCCCACACUGGUACUGAGACACGGACCAGACUCCUACGGGAGGCAGCAGUGAGGAAUAUUGGUCAAUGGGCGAGAGCCUGAACCAGCCAAGUCGCGUGAGGGAGUACUGCCCUAUGGGUUGUAAACCUCUUUUGUCGGGGAGCAAAAGCCGGACGUGUCCGUCUGUGAGAGUACCCGAAGAAAAAGCAUCGGCUAACUCCGUGCCAGCAGCCGCGGUAAUACGGAGGAUGCGAGCGUUAUCCGGAUUUAUUGGGUUUAAAGGGUGCGCAGGCGGAUUUUUAAGUCAGCGGUCAAAUCGUGGGGCUCAACCCCAUCCAGCCGUUGAAACUGGGGAUCUAGAGUGUGCGAGAGGUAUGCGGAAUGCGUGGUGUAGCGGUGAAAUGCAUAGAUAUCACGCAGAACCCCGAUUGCGAAGGCAGCAUACCGGUGCACAACUGACGCUCAGGCACGAAAGCGUGGGUAUCGAACAGGAUUAGAUACCCUGGUAGUCGACGCAGU